Rosa chinensis is the source of this 1716-nucleotide RNA transcript. RefSeq lists it as uncharacterized. Lineage: Eukaryota; Viridiplantae; Streptophyta; Magnoliopsida; Rosales; Rosaceae. The record is from RefSeq and is a predicted model, not a curated record. The transcript is spliced from 8 exons.
CAAAAAAAAAUUGCAAUGGCCACCGCAGUUAGCGUCGGCGCAAAAAUGCCGUCGCCAUUGGUCAUAAAUUUGCUACGGGAAACAAGGCGUCGCAAAAUUAAAAUUGGUUUGCGACGGCAAAUUAACGCCGUGGCAUAAAAACUGAUACAAUUGCGACGGCAUCUUUAAUGCCGUAGUUAAAUUUGUCCCGAUUCUUGCUACGCUAUAGUUGCCGUAGCUUUUUUUAGCUUUCUUCAGGUGCAUUAGUUGCCUUUUGUCAUUUUUAUUUUUCAUUUUUAUUAAGGAAAUGGUUCCCAUCGGUGUGACGCUCACUCUCUAAACCCCUUCUCUCUCUCCUCUUCUCCUUUCUCCGGAUACGAUCGACGACUUCGAGAGGGGUGUAGAGCGGAGCCCUCUCUCUCCCGCCGCCCAAAAAUCUCUACCGUUGAUUCAAUUCCAGUUGUGAAAUUCAUGUAGUUGAUGAUUCGCUGGCCUUAGGAUUCAUGUCAUCUCAUCUCAGAUCUAUACUUGCAAAUGGCUCAGAUCGACCUCCAUCUUUACCUCCUUGGCGGCACUCUCACAGACCAAAGGAAGCCAUGGCCGCUGUGCAUGUUGUAUCCUGCCCUCCCCGGCUUGGCAGCGAAUCGAAUUAGGUUGGUGUAUUCUCGCAUAGAUUCACAUGAAAAACCCAGUCCAAACUAUCUGCUGCAACAAUGGCUGUAGGGGAGCCCAGAGCACCAAAGUAAUAAAUUCACAUCUCCAUGUUUGGGCUUUUCCUCAUAAGGCUGCUGGUAAAUAUCCUUACUUUCCUGGCCAAGAACCCACUUUGCCUAGGGAUAUCGAUUUGUUGCUUCAGCAGGUUUGUAGAGAAAACAACAACCAUGGGUCUAGAAGAAUGCUAUUCACAUCAAUAUGUAAGUCUAAUAUCACAAGUAUUGCUGCAAUUGUUAUCGAACAUGGUGAUCGAUGAUAACAAUUGCACAAGUUCGAUAACAAUUGCACAAGUAUUGCUAUUGUGACAAAGGCUUCUCUCAUGGAAUGUAAUUAAUUUGGACUCAAGGUGAUGAUGUGAAGGAAAAAGAGCCGGACCCUUCAAUUUAUCUUAUAGUUGCCAAGGUAAACAAUCUACAUUUUUUUUCUUUCAGGCUUUCUACUUUGCCUCCUUCGAUGGAGAUGGAAUCAUAAAAGAGAAUGAUAAGUCAAUUUAGAAAUCAGAACGUCGACCCAAUGUACUCAAAUAUAGAGUAAGCAUUUCCUUACAAGUAUGAGGUAUGUUGUAAUUUUAAGUCUCGGAUUGAAUGUAUCCUUGCAACACUUGAUUAUGAUAUAACAGAGCUAGGUUGUAUGAUAUAACAUUUGUUAUGAUACAAAUACAAUACUUAUUGUUGGAUUUUUUUAAUUUUUUUUUUGUAGAAUUUGGAAUCUCUGGUCUGUCCAAUUUGGAGUUGCUCAUCAAAGAGAGCCUGCAAAAAGCCAGUGGCAGCGAUCUCCGAGUUCAUUUUAAGGUACCCUGGAUCUUCAUGAUAAUGAAUGAAAAUUCAGACAUAUAUUUCGAGGAGGCUUGCAACAACACUAGAGUAAUUGGUAUGUGAAGUAGAUCAAGGAAGAUCCUGCAAAGUUUAUCUUGAAGUAGAGGAAAAUAACUAACUUGUAAAGCUUAAUCUUGUAAAUUUUGGUAGAAGCUCCAUUCCUUUUGUAACAUUCAUGAGGAAAAUUAAAGUGUAACAUUUCUUUUUA